RNAcentral lists this long non-coding RNA (397 nucleotides) under Equus caballus (horse). RNAcentral's name for it is "lncRNA (ENSECAG00000047817.1)". The record is from RNAcentral. Lineage: Eukaryota; Metazoa; Chordata; Mammalia; Perissodactyla; Equidae.
CCGGAACAGGCCUGGACAGAGGGUCUCUCACUUAUCCAGGAAGGCGUGGCCACAACGACCUCUCAGAUAAAGCAAGCCGGCAGCGGAGAGGCGAAUUAACUCACCUAAGUCUUGCGGGUUGGGUUCCCUGGGAAGGAGACUCUAAGGCAGAGAUGGGGAAACUGACGCAGAGAGAAGCUGAGUAACUUGUCCAGUUACUAAGAGGCUGUGCCCAGAUAUACAAGUUGAAUUCCAUCCCAGUCCUGCUUCCAAACACCUGGAGAAGAAAAAACUGGAAAAUCUGAGCAGUCCCUCAACAAGCACCCUCUUUUUUGGCAGACAGAUUGACAGAAGAAAAACAAAUUUAAUUAGGUAUGUAUGGGGCCCCACAAAGACAGUGAACCCCAAGGACAAGUUG